Molecule: ribosomal RNA, 618 nt
Filed under: uncultured marine bacterium
Lineage: Bacteria
Description: bacterial SSU rRNA
Rfam family: Bacterial small subunit ribosomal RNA
Source: RNAcentral
AGAGUUUGAUCAUGGCUCAGGAUGAACGCUAGCGGCGUGCUUAACACAUGCAAGUCGAACGGGAAGCUUUUUCUGCGGAAGCUAAGGUGGAAGUAGAAGGGCGGAGAGUGGCGGACGGGUGAGUAACACGUAGGUAACCUACCCAGUAGAGGGGGAUAACCAUGGGAAACUGUGGCUAAUACCGCAUACAUUCAUGCUGUGGGAAUGGUGUGAGGAAAGAGGAAAGGUGCUAUUGGAGGGGCCUGCGGUCGAUUAGCUAGUUGGUAUGGUAAAGGCAUACCAAGGCAGUAAUCGGUAGCUGUUCUGAGAGGAAGACCAGCCACACGGGAACUGAGACACGGACCCGACUCCUACGGGGGGCAGCAGUGAGGAAUAUUGCGCAAUGGGGGGAACCCUGACGCAGCAACGCCGCGUGAAGGAAGAAGGUUUUCUGGAUCGUAAACUUCUUUUCUGUGUGAAGAGGGAGGACGGUAGCCCAGGAAUAAUACACGGUAAACCUACGUGUCCGUAGCCGCCAUAAUACGUAUGUGUCACGCGUCAUCCCGACUUACUGGCGCGUAAAGGGCGCGUACGCGGGGAUGCAAGUCCAUCGCGAAACCUACUCUGCUUACCUGCGCA